AGCAGCCGCGGUAAUUCCAGCUCCAAUAGCGUAUAUUAAAGUUGUUGCAGUUAAAAAGCUCGUAGUUGAAUUUCGGGAUCAGUACGCCGGUCGUGCCUUCGGUAUGCACUGGUGUCACUGGUUUCUCCCUUCUGAAGAACCAUCAUGCCAUUCAGUUGGUGUGGCGGGGAAUCAGGACUGUUACUUUGAAAAAAUUAGAGUGUUUAAAGCAGGCUCGCGCUUGAAUACAUUAGCAUGGAAUAAUGAAAUAGGACGUUUGACCCUAUUUUGUUGGUUUCUAGGAUCGACGUAAUGAUUAAUAGGGAUAGUUGGGGGCAUUAGUAUUCAAUUGUCAGAGGUGAAAUUCUUGGAUUUAUUGAAGACUAACUACUGCGAAAGCAUUUGCCAAGGAUGUUUUCAUUAAUCAAGAACGAAAGUUAGGGGAUCGAAGACGAUCAGAUACCGUCGUAGUCUUAACCAUAAACUAUGCCGACUAGGGAUCGGAUGAUGUAAUUUUUUAAUGA
RNAcentral lists this ribosomal RNA (503 nucleotides) under uncultured Glomus. RNAcentral's name for it is "SSU rRNA". It matches the Rfam family "Eukaryotic small subunit ribosomal RNA", at positions 569 to 1078 of the family's 1831-position model. Lineage: Eukaryota; Fungi; Glomeromycota; Glomeromycetes; Glomerales; Glomeraceae. The record is from RNAcentral.